RNAcentral lists this ribosomal RNA (1367 nucleotides) under metagenome. RNAcentral's name for it is "bacterial LSU rRNA". It matches the Rfam family "Bacterial large subunit ribosomal RNA", at positions 1547 to 2925 of the family's 2925-position model. The record is from RNAcentral.
CCCUCAAGGACAAGCUGUGAUGGGGAGCGAAAUUUAGUAGCGAAGUUCCUGAUGUCACACUGCCAAGAAAAGCUUCUAGUGAGAAAGUAACUGCCCGUACCGCAAACCGACACAGGUAGUUGAGGAGAGAAUCCUAAGGUGUGCGAGAGAACUCUCGUUAAGGAACUCGGCAAAAUGACCCCGUAACUUCGGGAGAAGGGGUGCUGACCGCAAGGUCAGCCGCAGUGAAUAGGCCCAAGCGACUGCUUAUCAAAAACACAGGUCUCUGCAAAAUCGAAAGAUGACGUAUAGGGGCUGACGCCUGCCCGGUGCUGGAAGGUUAAGAGGAGAGGUUAGCGCAAGCGAAGCUUUGAAUUGAAGCCCCAGUAAACGGCGGCCGUAACUAUAACGGUCCUAAGGUAGCGAAAUUCCUUGUCGGGUAAGUUCCGACCCGCACGAAAGGCGUAACGAUUUGGGCACUGUCUCAACGAGAGACUCGGUGAAAUCAUAGUACCAGUGAAUAUGCUGGUUACCCGCGACAGGACGGAAAGACCCCAUGGAGCUUUACUGCAGUUUGAUAUUGCGUGUUUGUAUCACAUGUACAGGAUAGGUAGGAGCCGAAGAUACCGGGACGCCAGUCUCGGAGGAGGCAACGGUGGGAUACUACCCUUGUGAUAUGACCACUCUAACCCGCUGCUCUUAGCGAGCAGGGAGACAGUGUCAGACGGGCAGUUUGACUGGGGCGGUCGCCUCCAAAAAUGUAACGGAGGCGCCCAAAGGUUCCCUCAGAAUGGUUGGAAAUCAUUCGUAGAGUGUAAAGGCAGAAGGGAGCUUGACUGCGAGACCUACAUGUCGAGCAGGGACGAAAGUCGGGCUUAGUGAUCCGGUGGUUCCGCAUGGAAGGGCCAUCGCUCAACGGAUAAAAGCUACCCUGGGGAUAACAGGCUUAUCUCCCCCAAGAGUUCACAUCGACGGGGAGGUUUGGCACCUCGAUGUCGGCUCAUCGCAUCCUGGGGCUGUAGUCGGUCCCAAGGGUUGGGCUGUUCGCCCAUUAAAGCGGUACGCGAGCUGGGUUCAGAACGUCGUGAGACAGUUCGGUUCCUAUCCGUCGCGGGCGUUGGAAAUUUGAGAGGAGCUGUCCUUAGUACGAGAGGACCGGGAUGGACACACCGCUGGUGUACCAGUUGUUCUGCCAAGAGCAUCGCUGGGUAGCUAUGUGUGGACGGGAUAAACGCUGAAAGCAUCUAAGCGUGAAGCCCCCCUCAAGAUGAGAUUUCCCAUCACUUCAAGUGAGUAAGACCCCUGAAAGAUGAUCAGGUAGAUAGGUUGGGAGUGGAAGUACAGCGAUGUAUGGAGCGGACCAAUACUAAUCGGUCGAGGACUUAACC